Molecule: non-coding RNA, 1045 nt
Organism: Odocoileus virginianus texanus
Lineage: Eukaryota; Metazoa; Chordata; Mammalia; Artiodactyla; Cervidae
Source: RefSeq, a predicted model, not a curated record
UUAAACGCCACUCAGAUGCUGUCUUCACUGACAACUACACACGCCUUCGAAAACAAAUGGCUGUGAAGAAAUACCUGAACUCAAUUCUAAAUGGAAAGCGAAGCAGUGAAGGAGAGUCUCCUGACUUUCUUGAAGAGUUGGAAAAAUGAUGAGAAAGCUCUUUGGAGCAAAGCUGCUGACAACUUCCCAGUGAAUUCUUGAAGAAAAACAAUAAGUGAAGUAAUUUUAUUUUGAGUUCUACAUAAGUAAUUCAAGAAAACUACUUCAAUAUCAAAACCAAAUAAAAUACAUUGUGUUGUGAAUGUUGUGAUUUAUUUUACUCUGAUGUAAUAACUGUGAUGUUUACAUUGUAAAUAUUAUUUGUGAGUUCUGAAAUUUGUCUUUAACUCAUGAGAAUUCUGUGAUUUCAUGUGCUGUGCAUCCUUUCUAAUAAAAAUAUAUUUAAUGAUAAGUAAAUACUAGGUUAAUUCCAAUUAUAUGAGGCUUUUUGGAAGGAUAGUAAUCGAGCAAAAUUGAUGUGUUUAUUUAUAGGACAUACUUAACUAUGCAGAAGAGUGGAGGAGAUAAUAAGCACAUCUAAAUUUGAACGUUGAGCAGAUAGAAUGCUGUGUUAAAUAAGUUUCAGAGUGUCUAAGAGAAUACCAAAAGCAAAGAUAAAAAAAAUUCUUUAAAAAAAAGAUUUUCAGAAAAUGUGUGUUUCUGUAUUCUUAGGCAGCAUUUAUUUUGAAUGAGAUUUUUAAAUCUUUCAAAUUUGAAUCUCUAAUUGCCAAAUACUCUUCUGAUCGAAUGUUUCAGUUAAGGAGAAUGGCCUCUAUUUCUGACACUGAACUUUUCCUUUAUGCUUGUGUUAAGUAUGUGUAACGUGUAAACUGAACAGAACACUUGUUUUUCAGUGAUAAAUAUUUUUUCCAUUGUCUCUCAGAUAAUGCUUAGGUCAUAUCAGCUUUCUUCAGUGAAAGUACGUUUGGAGAAACAACUAUUUUUCCAAAAUGAUUGUAAGAAAUUAAAUAUAGAAAAUAAAGACCUUUGAUUAUCAUUGCAGGCA